UACGGAGGGGGCGAGCGUUAUUCGGAAUUAUUGGGCGUAAAGGGCGCGUAGGCGGCCUUGUAAGUCAAAGGUGAAAUCCCUCGGCUCAACUGAGGAACUGCCUUUGAAACUGCAAGGCUUGAGGCCGGGAGGGGGUAGCGGAAUUCCCAAUGUAGCGGUGAAAUGCGUAGAUAUUGGGAGGAACACCAGUGGCGAAGGCGGCUACCUGGACCGGUUCUGACGCUGAGGCGCGAAAUCGUGGGUAGCAAACAGG
RNAcentral lists this ribosomal RNA (253 nucleotides) under uncultured bacterium. RNAcentral describes it as "partial 16S ribosomal RNA". It matches the Rfam family "Bacterial small subunit ribosomal RNA", at positions 524 to 776 of the family's 1533-position model. The record is from RNAcentral.